GUGCAAUCGCCGGGUUUGGGGAAUGUCGCAACACGCGCACACCAAUCUCUCAAGCACUGAUCGAAUAGAGUUCGUUCACCAUCGUUCGUCUUGCAUCACGUUGAAAGAUAACACUACACGACUUUCCAGGUUGCAGAAGUAAUGAUGCAUAGCAGCAAUGAACCGGAACCACCAAGCGCAACCUGUUUCCUGGCCCAUCGCGAUUGUAUCCCUAUGAGGAACAUUGAUGUUUGGCCCGCUCGCUGUUGACAACCGGAGUGGCGUCAUUGUCGUCGGCUGGCUGCAGCAUUGCGUCCACAUUGCCUACGACCCCUACACCGUCUUCAUUAACGUCGCUAAUGGCUUCAGUGAAAUUUAGUAUCUGCUUUAAUGGCCUUCAAUGCUUUGGGAGCUUCGGGUCCGAAUGUUUUGCAGCGUUUGGUCCGAUCAGAAACAGUCCGAUUCCUCGUUGACUUUCGGGCGUGAGCUUCCUAGCAGUAUCCAUGGCAUUAAAGUACUAUGAUAUGGUUAACAUGUAGGUCUCCUGUAAGAUUCUAGCGGCUUUGGCAUGGACAGUCCAUUUUUGGCUGGAGGAAUGAACUUGUACGGUUGGAACAUUAUUUAUCCUUAACUUUCAGGACCACGAACAUUUUUGGGCGGGGCCCCAGCGCGAAGCGCCCAGGGGGGCCCCGACCUGUAGGAUUGCCCAUGUCCGUGUGUGUGUGUGUAACGGACCAAACAUAAUAUCUCGCCCGGCUGAAACGCGUUAUAGGUACUAUACAGCAUUCUCUAUUGCAAGGUAUCUCGCAUGUAGCCAACAAAAAUCGUAUGAGCACAAACAAGUUUGGCUGCCUCAAUUGACCGAGGCCAAAGUCACAUCAACGCCUCUCGCGCUAAAUUUCAUCUCAAAAGGUACCGCGUAUCUCAUAUUUGAAUUCUUAGAUGACGGCGUAUGAUAACUCGAACUCCCAGGCCUUGAGUGUGUAACGGACCAAACAGAAUAUUUCACCCGGCUGAAACGCGUUAUCGGUACUAUACAGCAUUCUCUAUUGCAAGGUAUCUCGCAUGUAGCUAACAAAGACCGUAUGAGCACAAACAAGUUUAGCUGCCUCCAUUCACCGACCUCAAAAGCCACAUCAACGCCUCUCGCGCUAAAUUUCAUCCCAAAAGCUGCCGCGUAUCUCACAAUGGAAUUCUGAGAUGACGGCGUAUGAUAACUUGAACACCCAGCUUGUGUUACCAUUUGCCGGCAUGGGCAAUCCGACUGGCCACCAGCAGGCCAACAUAAUUUGCUUUCAUUUCUCUAUGAAAUACACAAGCUGCUUGUCUGUACAUUUACUUUGGCCAAUGCACGGGGCCUCCGAAGAGUUGCAGCGUGCCGUGAUGAAGCUUGUGGCAGUAGAGUGCUUCCUGUAGCCGCAUGUAGACCACAUACAGGUCAGCAACCGAUGGGUGUGCCACGGAAUAGUCCCGAAAUCGCUCGAAAAUACAUUCGUUACACAAACACUACCUCCCACCAUGUUGACAUUACCCAUCAAUUGUCACACUUGCCACCCUUGCUACCGGCCUGUACGGAUGCAGAGGGGCCCCGCCCUUUUUCCGGCUUCAAGGAAGCCGACACCCAAUCUUGUUUUAUUCCGAAUUCGGAAUAUGUUCCGCAAAAAAAUAACGCUGAAUCCCAACAACUAAUUGCCCGAGCGUUGUCUCUCCUCUACUUAACGUUGGGGUAUCGCAGCUUCUCCGUACCUCGUAACCGAGGCCAGGGGUCCUAAUCCUCUCAUCCUGGGGUUGGGUACCGGUCAACCAUCCUCUAAUCUCAGCAGGGUGGACCACUUCUAAGUCCCUAUCCAGAGUGGGGGUCAUAUCCAUAUCCACAUCCCGAGGGAAGGAGUCUAAUCCACAUCCAGUAAGGUGAUAGUACCUUGAGCUCCCUUGUUCAUGGGCGAGCUGAGGCGGCACACGAACGAGCCAUACCUGAGCUCUAACCCCCACCGAUUUCUGACCCCCGUGGCUCCCAGAUGUGGGAAAAUGACCGACACCUUUCUGCCGUACCAGCAGCAGAACGGUGACAGAAGUAAUGGGACCCGAGGGGUUCCGGGGCGCUGUUCAGGUUGACGUUGGUUUGCGAAGUGAAGAGAGGUUUACUCCUAGAUGUCGACGACAGGGGUAGGUGUUUCGGCGACGUGAUGCUUAGCUAUUGCCUAGGGCUGAUGCCCGCAGGACUGGAACUCCAGGUAUGUAUGUAUGUUGUUACAGGGUGGUAUAGCUUCACCAGCGGCCCCCUUUCCCGUGGCAGUUCCCUGCUCUCACCUGCGAAAGGGGCACCCUAAUCCAUUCACCCCAUCCGACUUCAGAAUGAAUUCGUUGGGUUCAGCAACUCACCACCAGCAUCCAACCAAAUCAUGCGCUGGUGCCAGCUGCGAUGGAGCUUACAAGGACUUGAUCCAUUGAUACUGGAAAAGGUCGCAGUGUUAAUACAAAUGAGGUCCGAGUACAAACUUCCAAGGUGGGUUGUUGUCAACAACGACCCUUCGCCGUCGUUCGGGGCAUAUGGAUGCCAUCAUCGCCCGUAGGCUACGCUAAAACCAUAAAAACAAUCCAUGCACGUGUAAAGCGAGCAACAACAGCUCCACAUAAAACCUGCCUCACACAUCACGGUGCGUCUUUUACCUAAUUCAUCUUUACGAUUAGAAACAAAGUCCAAGCCCUAAAAAUGAACCACAAUCCAAAAACUCAACAAUCAGCAGUCGAUAUCUACACCCACGCACGAAAACCACAAAUAAUAACACGACCAAGUCAAGAUGCACAUGCACGUACUCGAUUAGAGGCAUCUGGUGUCACUGGGAUAUUGAUACACAUGUCUGGGGUUUCGUACAACCCCGCAAUACCCUUACUAGCCAUAUCACACACGCGCACAUACAUACAUACGUACAUACACACAUAGCUCUCCCUGCAUCGCCAUGGCCCCCAGUACUACUACCGCCCAUGCCGCCCCGCUAGCGUCGCGGUCCAGCAGCUACCAGCAGGCCACCAGGAUCGGUGCAGGCAACAGCAUAAUCAGCUGCCGGAGUGCCGUACAAACGGUAAAACCCUUACAACCAACGGUACAACCGUUAUUACCGUUCUGCUCACUUCUUGGGGGCCGGCGGCGGCGCCUUAUUCGUUAAUGGAGGUGAUGGGGGAGAUGGAAGCGGCUGCUUGCCCGCCGGUGCCGGUGGCGGAGGACGCACUGGCGGCUGGUUGUUGGACGCCGGCGGCGGCGGAAGUGGCUGCUUGUUUGACGGCAGCGUCGACGGCGGGGGCGAAACCGGCUGCUUGCUUGAUGGCUGGGUCGACGGCGGGGGCGAAAGCGGCUGCUUGUUUGACGGCAGCGUCGGCGGGGGGGGCGAAACCGGCUGCUUGUUUGACGGCUGGGUCGAGGGCGGCGGCGAAAUCGGCUGCUUGUUUGACGGUUGGGUCGACGGCGGCGGCGAAAUCGGCUGCUUGUUUGACGGCUGGGUCGACGGCGGGGGCGAACCCGGCUGCUUGCUUGACGGCUGGGUCGACGGGGGGGGCGAAAGCGGCUGCUUGUUUGACGGCAGCGUCGACGGCGGGGGCGAAACCGGCUGCUUGCUUGACGGCUGGGUCGACGGCCGCGGUGAAACCGGCUGCUUGUUUGACGGCUGGGUCGACGGCGGGGGCGAAAGCGGCUGCUUGUUUGACGGCAGCGUCGACGGGGGGGGCGAAAGCGGCUGCUUGUUUGACGGCUGGGUCGACGGCGGGGGCGAAAGCGGCUGCUUGUUUGACGGCAGCGUCGACGGCGGGGGCGAAACCGGCUGCUUGUUUGCCGGCUGGGUCGACGGCGGGGGCGAAACCGGCUGCUUGCUUGACGGCUGGGUCGACGGCGGCGGCGAAACCGGCUGCUUGCUUGACGGCAGGUUUGACGGCGGCGGCGAAAGCGGCUGCUUGUUUGACGGCAGCGGCGGCUUGCUGCUUGUUACGUUUGCAGCCAGGGCACCUGUGCAGAGGAAUGCGAUCCCCAAAGACACGUUCAAUGCCAGCACCGCUACUAGAUGACCUGACGAAGCUCCAAGUCGAUUUCCUAAGGCCGUCAGCAUAUCUACGUCGCCACACAAAUAUGCUGCUCCACAAAACAUUGUUCCCCGGAGGUGCACGCACAUGAUUAUGCACCUGAGAUUGCCUCACCUUCUUGGCACAGAAACGCGAGGACCAGCAAUGAGAGGAGGCGUACGGUGGCCAUUUUAUCCGUGAUAUGUAACAAGGAAAUGGUUGUAACGAAACAAACCACUUGGCUUCAAACCCAACGUUCCAGACGGAGGAGAUGCUUCCACAACACUUCGGGAGCCAAAAGUUAUACUAGUGAGUGAAAACUUGUGUACGGAACUGCCCACUACAGGCAUCGUACACAAAUUGCGAAACAGGAUGGCUGGUUUAAUGCUGUGCAUAUGGGGGUGCCGACUUGGUUUAGAAGUGGCGUCUACGAAUCGGCCAGCGGCGGUGUUUUUAAAGGAACAGCAGCAGCUUACUAAACUGGCCUUUGUCAGGUCGCCACGGUUUCAGUUUCGCCGCUGGAAAACCUUCGUCUAUGCGUUCAAAGUAAGGGAGAUGUUGCAAUAUUGCAUGUAGGUCUUAUGUUUUAGUUCCGAGUGUAAAUAAUGAACAAGUCAUGAGGGCGAGGGUGAGCCUCGGCUUUGGAGUCAUGCGUGCCAGUCCGGCAGAAGUUUAAAGGGUUUAGGGCUUUAUCAGAGCCGCAGUCCCAUGGCAGGUGAGGUUUUGGUGAGAUUAUAUAUGGGCACGUUACACGCCGUGCUUGCACGAAAGAUCGCGCUUAACAGUUCAGUGUUUGCGCCAUUUGCUUGUUUGGCCGAUAUGGAGGAUUGGUUGCUAGCUCUUACUUGCGCAAACAGCGAGCGCUUGCUGGAACGAAGGGCGGCAAGGCACUGCGUAUCGUGAUAUCAGCGCAAUGCGGCUGUCUGUGUGCAAUUUGAUAAGCUAAAUAGACACUUUCAGAGAGGAGGCCACAAGUCUUUGCCAGCCUCCUAGCACAGAGGCCGAAGACCACUUUGGCAAAGACUCGCUCGGUGCAAAGAUAGGGUGCUCGGUCCAUAUCUGGACGUACACGUGAAACUUCACCCGAAUGAAACCCCAGUGCUGCUUUUUAUGAAGCCGUGCCAAGUCUCAACCCAGCUCUAAGGCAAAUCACUCAUGACUGUACCCUUAAAUGUCUAGCUAUGAACAUAACCAGCCUGCAGGUCUGCCGCAUGCUUUUGGGUGCACAUCCCCGUGCCUGGGAGCUAAGGGCCUGUUCAAGGGUCCACUUCAAGCGCCGACCCUCACCUGAAACGAACGGUCAACAUUGCCUACGACCUCUAGGCCGUCUUCAUUAACGUCGCUAAUCGCUUCAGUGAAGUUCAAUAUCUUCUUUCAUGGCCUUCCACGUUUUGGGAGCUUCGGGUCCGAAUAUUUUGCAGCGUUUGAUCCGGUCAGAAACAGUCCGAUUCCUCGUUGACUUUCGGGCGUGAGCUUCCUAGCAGUAUCCAUGACAUUAAAGUACUAUGAUAUGGUUAACAUGUAGGUCUCCUGUAAGAUUCUAGCGGCUUUGGCAUAAACAGUCCAUUUUUAAGCAGCCCCUCGCACAAAUGUGAGCGGUCGUACUCUGCCGAAUAAACGGUUCGUACAUCGUCCAAAAAAGCCAGGAGCGAAUUUUGCCGCGCGGAUGCGCGCGUGCGAUUCGCAAAAUGCGCGUGUACAAGUGUAUAUAAAUUUUCUUGGCGGAUGAGGACCAGGUGCGCCAGCGCGUUGCGCAGGUGGGCAUGUUGGCCACAGCCGCACGCGG
This 5815-nucleotide long non-coding RNA is filed under the name Volvox carteri. RNAcentral describes it as "long non-coding RNA (VCAR_LNC000479)". Lineage: Eukaryota; Viridiplantae; Chlorophyta; Chlorophyceae; Chlamydomonadales; Volvocaceae. The record is from RNAcentral.